This 560-nucleotide ribosomal RNA is filed under the name Candidatus Kaiserbacteria bacterium. RNAcentral's name for it is "partial 23S ribosomal RNA". It matches the Rfam family "Bacterial large subunit ribosomal RNA", at positions 262 to 818 of the family's 2925-position model. The record is from RNAcentral. Lineage: Bacteria; Candidatus Kaiseribacteriota.
GAAGAGCCCAAAUCCCGAUAACUUAGUUCUCGGGAGGUUGUAGGACUGCAAUAUGAAAGUACAAACGAAGCAGAAUCUUCUGGAAAGUUGAACCAAAGAAGGUGAUAGUCCUGUAAGCGUAAGAAUGUACGAUCUAGCAGUAUCCUGAGUAGCGCGGGACCGGAGAAAUCCUGUGUGAAUCUGCCAGCACCAUCUGGUAAGGCUAAAUACUCCUUGGAGACCGAUAGCGAACAAGUACUGUGAAGGAAAGGUGAAAAGGACCCCAAGAAGGGGAGUGAAAAGACCCUGAAACCAUACGCUUACAAGCGGUCGGAGUUCCGAGCAAUCGGAAUGACGGCGUGCCUUUUGCAUAAUGAGCCUACGAGUUACUCUUCACUAGCAAGUUUAAGCGCUUCAGGCGCGGAGGCGAAGCGAAAGCGAGUCUGAAUAGGGCGAUUGAGCUAGUGGAGGUAGACGCGAAACCGAGUGAUCUACCCAUGGGCAGGUUGAAGUCCCGAUAGUCUCGGGAUGGAGGACCGAACCAGUAAACGUUGAAAAGUUUUUGGAUGACCUGUGGGUAG